This 265-nucleotide ribosomal RNA is filed under the name uncultured bacterium. RNAcentral's name for it is "partial 16S ribosomal RNA". It matches the Rfam family "Bacterial small subunit ribosomal RNA", at positions 1236 to 1500 of the family's 1533-position model. The record is from RNAcentral.
GGUACAGAGGGCGGCGAAGCCGCGAGGUUUAGCAAAUCUCUUAAAGCCGUUCUCAGUUCGGAUUGUAGGCUGCAACUCGCCUACAUGAAGUCGGAAUCGCUAGUAAUCGCGGAUCAGCAUGCCGCGGUGAAUACGUUCCCGGGCCUUGUACACACCGCCCGUCACACCAUGAGAGUUUGUAACACCCAAAGCCGGUGGGGUAACCUUUUGGAGCCAGCCGUCUAAGGUAGGACAGAUGAUUAGGGUGAAGUCGUAACAAGGUAAC